GCGGGUGUGGUGCGCGGUGCACGGCUGCGCCAGGUUAGAGAGCAGUACCAACUUUGCAGCAGAUCCGGGUUCGACUCCCGGCGCCCGCC
Molecule: non-coding RNA, 89 nt
Organism: Mycena vulgaris
Lineage: Eukaryota; Fungi; Basidiomycota; Agaricomycetes; Agaricales; Mycenaceae
Source: the annotation of a GenBank genome assembly